Molecule: ribosomal RNA, 358 nt
Filed under: uncultured bacterium
Lineage: Bacteria
Description: bacterial SSU rRNA
Rfam family: Bacterial small subunit ribosomal RNA
Source: RNAcentral
AGAGUUUGAUCAUGGCUCAGGAUGAACGCUAGCUACAGGCUUAACACAUGCAAGUCGAGGGGCAUCAGUUUGGUUUGCUUGCAAACCAAAGCUGGCGACCGGCGCACGGGUGAGUAACACGUAUCCAACCUGCCUCAUACUCGGGGGAUAGCCUUUCGAAAGAAAAGAUUUAAUAUCCGAUAGCAUAUAUUUCCCGCAUGGGUUUUAUAUUAAAGAAAUUCGGUAUGAGAUGGGGAUGCGUUCCAUUAGUUUGUUGGCGGGGUAACGGCCCACCAAGACUACGAUGGAUAGGGGUUCUGAGAGGAAGGUCCCCCACAUUGGAACUGAGACACGGUCCAAACUCCUACGGGAGGCAGCA